RNAcentral lists this ribosomal RNA (253 nucleotides) under uncultured bacterium. RNAcentral's name for it is "partial 16S ribosomal RNA". It matches the Rfam family "Bacterial small subunit ribosomal RNA", at positions 524 to 776 of the family's 1533-position model. The record is from RNAcentral.
UACGUAGGGUGCGAGCGUUGUUCGGAAUUACUGGGCGUAAAGCGCGCGUAGGCGGAUUUGCCAGUCAGGGGUGAAAUCCCCAGGCUCAACCUGGGAACUGCCUUCGAUACAGGAUGUCUUGAGUCCGAGAGAGGUGGGUGGAAUUCCUAGUGUAGCGGUGAAAUGCGUAGAGAUUAGGAGGAACACCGGUGGCGAAGGCGGCCCGCUGGCUCGAAACUGACGCUGAGGCGCGAAAGCGUGGGGAGCGAACAGG